RNAcentral lists this ribosomal RNA (446 nucleotides) under uncultured bacterium. RNAcentral describes it as "partial 16S ribosomal RNA". It matches the Rfam family "Bacterial small subunit ribosomal RNA", at positions 338 to 795 of the family's 1533-position model. The record is from RNAcentral.
CCUACGGUGCGCAGCAGUCGAGAAUCAUUCACAAUGGGGGAAACCCUGAUGGUGCGACGCCGCGUGGGGGAAUGAAGGUCUUCGGAUUGUAAACCCCUGUCAUGUGGGAGCAAAUUAAAAAGAUAGUACCACAAGAGGAAGAGACGGCUAACUCUGUGCCAGCAGCCGCGGUAAUACAGAGGUCUCAAGCGUUGUUCGGAAUCACUGGGCGUAAAGCGUGCGUAGGCUGUUUCGUAAGUCGUGUGUGAAAGGCGCGGGCUCAACCCGCGGACGGCACAUGAUACUGCGAGACUAGAGUAAUGGAGGGGGAACCGGAAUUCUCGGUGUAGCAGUGAAAUGCGUAGAUAUCGAGAGGAACACUCGUGGCGAAGGUGGGUUCCUGGACAUUAACUGACGCUGAGGCACGAAGGCCAGGGGAGCGAAAGGGAUUAGAUACCCCAGUAGUC